GUGAGGGAAAGGCGAAAAGAACCCCGGCGAGGGGAGUGAAAAAGAACCUGAAACCGUGUACGUACAAGCAGUGGGAGCCCCACCACUAAGCCAGUGGUGAACUCCACAUCCGCAUCCUUUGCUGAGGAUACGGUUAACGGAGCGAAAGCGACGUUCAACCGCAAAACAAGCAGAGGGGGCUUAGUGGUGGGGUGACUGCGUACCUUUUGUAUAAUGGGUCAGCGACUUAUAUUCUGUAGCAAGGUUAACCGAAUAGGGGAGCCGGAGGGAAACCGAGUCUUAAUUGGGCGUUAAGUUGCAGGGUAUAGACCCGAAACCCGGUGAUCUAGCCAUGGGC
This 337-nucleotide ribosomal RNA is filed under the name Salmonella enterica subsp. enterica serovar Typhimurium. RNAcentral's name for it is "bacterial LSU rRNA". It matches the Rfam family "Bacterial large subunit ribosomal RNA", at positions 503 to 741 of the family's 2925-position model. The record is from RNAcentral. Lineage: Bacteria; Pseudomonadati; Pseudomonadota; Gammaproteobacteria; Enterobacterales; Enterobacteriaceae.